This 465-nucleotide ribosomal RNA is filed under the name Vreelandella stevensii. Its description in RNAcentral is "partial 16S ribosomal RNA". It matches the Rfam family "Bacterial small subunit ribosomal RNA", at positions 338 to 795 of the family's 1533-position model. Lineage: Bacteria; Pseudomonadati; Pseudomonadota; Gammaproteobacteria; Oceanospirillales; Halomonadaceae. The record is from RNAcentral.
CCUACGGGUGGCUGCAGUGGGGAAUAUUGGACAAUGGGGGGAACCCUGAUCCAGCCAUGCCGCGUGUGUGAAGAAGGCCCUCGGGUUGUAAAGCACUUUCAGUGAGGAAGAACGCCUGGUGGUUAAUACCCACCAGGAAAGACAUCACCCACAGAAGAAGCACCGCCUAACUCCGUGCCAGCAGCCGCGGUAAUACGGAGGGUGCGAGCGUUAAUCGGAAUUACUGGGCGUAAAGCGCGCGUAGGUGGCUUGAUAAGCCGGUUGUGAAAGCCCCGGGCUCAACCUGGGAACGGCAUCCGGAACUGUCAAGCUAGAGUGCAGGAGAGGAAGGUAGAAUUCCCGGUGUAGCGGUGAAAUGCGUAGAGAUCGGGAGGAAUACCAGUGGCGAAGGCGGCCUUCUGGACUGACACUGACACUGAGGUGCGAAAGCGUGGGUAGCAAACAGGAUUAGAUACCCUAGUAGUC